UUUUCCGGUUGAUCCUGCCGGACCCUAUUGCUAUCGGGGUGAGACUAAGCCAUGCUAGUUGUGCGCUCCCUAGCUACGUUGGGAGAGCAGCGAACAGCUCCGUAACACGUAGUUAACCUGCCCUUGGCACGGACAUACUCCCGGGAAACUGGGUCUAAUAUCCGAUGGAUGGAAAUGCCUGGAAUGGUUUUCCAUUGAAAGGUUUUCGAGAACAUGCUCUCGAAGAUGGCUAAGGAUGGGACUGCGUCCGAUCAGGUAGUUGGUAGGGUAACGGCCUACCAAGCCGAUAACCGGUACGGGCCCUGAGAGGGGGAGCCCGGAGAUGGAAACUGAGACAAGGUUCCAGGCCCUACGGGGCGCAGCAGGCGCGAAACCUCCACAAUGCGCGAAAGCGUGAUGGGGUUACCCCGAGUGCCGUCCGAUGAGGAGGGCUUUUACUCGGUGUACAAAGCCGGGGGAAUAAAGGGGGGGUAAGACUGGUGUCAGCCGCCGCGGUAAUACCAGCCCCCUGAGUGAUAGGGACGAUUAUUUAGCCUAAAGCGUUCGUAGCCGGCUCAGCAAGUCUUUCGUUAAAUCUGACGACUUAAUCGUUAGGCUGCGGGAGAUACUACUGGGCUUGAGGGUGGGAGAGGUUGACGGUAUUUCCAGGGUAGGGGUGAAAUCCUAUAAUCCUGGGAGGACCACCAGUGGCGAAGGCGGUCAACUAGAACACGCCUGACGGUGAGGGACGAAAGCUGGGGUAGCGAACCGGAUUAGACACCCGGGUAGUCCCAGCUGUAAACGAUGCGGGCUAGGUGUUGGAGCAGCUACGAGCUGCUUCAGUGCCGCAGAGAAGUCGUUAAGCCCGCCGCUUGGGAAGUACGAUCGCAAGAUUGAAACUUAAAGGAAUUGGCGGGGGGGCACCACAAGGGGUGAAGCCUGCGGUUCAAUUGGAGUCAACGCCGGGAAUCACUAGU
This 956-nucleotide ribosomal RNA is filed under the name uncultured archaeon. Its description in RNAcentral is "bacterial SSU rRNA". It matches the Rfam family "Archaeal small subunit ribosomal RNA", at positions 1 to 934 of the family's 1478-position model. The record is from RNAcentral.